This 468-nucleotide ribosomal RNA is filed under the name uncultured bacterium. Its description in RNAcentral is "partial 16S ribosomal RNA". It matches the Rfam family "Bacterial small subunit ribosomal RNA", at positions 28 to 507 of the family's 1533-position model. The record is from RNAcentral.
GACGAACGCUGGCGGCGUGCUUAACACAUGCAAGUCGAACGGAAAGGCCCUGCUUUUGUGGGGUGCUCGAGUGGCGAACGGGUGAGUAACACGUGAGUAACCUGCCCUUGACUUUGGGAUAACUUCAGGAAACUGGGGCUAAUACCGGAUAGGAGCUCCUGCUGCCUGGUGGGGGUUGGAAAGUUUCGGCGGUUGGGGAUGGACUCGCGGCUUAUCAGCUUGUUGGUGGGGUAGUGGCUUACCAAGGCUUUGACGGGUAGCCGGCCUGAGAGGGUGACCGGCCACAUUGGGACUGAGAUACGGCCCAGACUCCUACUGGAGGCAGCAGUGGGGAAUAUUGCACAAUGGGCGGAAGCCUGAUGCAGCAACGCCGCGUGCGGGAUGACGGCCUUCGGGUUGUAAACCGCUUUCGCCUGUGACGAAGCGUGAGUGACGGUAAUGGGUAAAGAAGCACCGGCUAACUACGUG